Molecule: ribosomal RNA, 300 nt
Filed under: uncultured bacterium
Lineage: Bacteria
Description: bacterial SSU rRNA
Rfam family: Bacterial small subunit ribosomal RNA
Source: RNAcentral
GGAUUAGAUACCCUGGUAGUCCACGCCCUAAACGAUGUGCACUAGAUCGAGGAGGUUUUGACGCCAUCUCGGCCGAAGCAAAAGCGUUAAGUGCACCGCCUGGGGAGUACGGUCGCAAGGCUAAAACUCAAAGGAAUUGACGGGGGCUCACACAAGCGGUGGAGCAUGUGGCUUAAUUCGAAUCUACGCGAAGAACCUUAUCCAGGGUUUGACAUGCACAGAUUAUUGAUCCGAAAGGUGAUAAACACUCUUUGAGUGGAACGUGCACAGGUGCUGCAUGGCUGUCGUCAGCUCGUGUUG